AAGAGAAAACCGUGUCCUGCUCUCUCUCUUUCAAUUUCGUUUUCCUUGCCUCUGCAUAGUGGGUAGCGAAUUUCUUCCUCUCAAUUUAUUCAUCAUUCUUCUUGUCUUUUUCCUCCACCAAAAAAAAACCACACAAAAUCCUACCAUUGAUUACAUGCUGUUGAAGGACAUUUGGGCUUUCACGUGGAAGAGUUUUGAGACAAUUAUUGAGAGUUAGGGCUUGUGAUUUGAGGAAGGAGAAGAGUAUCCAGCACUUCAAAUUGUGGAUUUGAUUUCUUGGAGAUUCGUUGGCUAGUGGUUUGUUCGGUUGCCGUGGAGCUGUUGGAAGCAGUUCAGUUGAUUCGCCUUUGUUAUUUUCAGGCAGCUUAGUAGCAGACUGUUGUCAGAUUCAGAUCAUUCGACUUAUUUCCUUUAGCAGGUUGUCAUAGUGGUGUCUUUUAUUCAAUCCUGGUUAUCUGCAGCUAUAGAGAGUCCUAGGUGGAUUUAGAUUUGGGAUUGUGAUUUAUUGUUAUAUUUUAAGAGUUGGCACUUGAGUGCUCGAGUUGAUUUUAUAUUUCACUUAAAAUACUGGUUAUGGAAGAACCUAUUGGCAGAUGUUGUUAAUUUGUAACUAUUGGAAUUACAAAAGAGAUUCUAGUGUUUUUAUAUAUGUGUACAAAGAUAUUUUGAAUAAAUUGUUUGGAAAAUGAUUCUAUGGGGAA
Lotus japonicus is the source of this 701-nucleotide long non-coding RNA. RefSeq lists it as uncharacterized. The record is from RefSeq and is a predicted model, not a curated record. The transcript has 3 exons. Lineage: Eukaryota; Viridiplantae; Streptophyta; Magnoliopsida; Fabales; Fabaceae.